GUGCAGGCCUUCCGUGCAAUGAAGGAUAUAGGAAUUUGUGAGGAGAAAGUGAAACCAGUGUUGAAGAGACUUCUAAUUUUAUAUGAUAGAAAUUGGGAGCCAAUUGAAUCUGAAAACUAUAGAGUUCUUGCUGAUGCCAUCUUUGAUGAGGAGGAUAGUAAGGUUCCAGAACCUAAAAAAGACGAGAAAUGCAUCGAUGGAGAUAUUGGAGAUGAUUCAGUACUUGAUGACCUGUAAGACCCUUAAAAAGAUUGAGAAAACUAGGUGAGGCUUCU
Long non-coding RNA from Hibiscus syriacus, 275 nucleotides. RefSeq lists it as uncharacterized. NCBI's taxonomy places the organism in Eukaryota, Viridiplantae, Streptophyta, Magnoliopsida, Malvales, Malvaceae. The record is from RefSeq and is a predicted model, not a curated record. The transcript is spliced from 3 exons.